CCGGAGCUCCGGUGGCGGCGGGAUGGAAUUUCCUCUCGUGGAGUUUCCCGCUGCAGGAGGGGCCUUUAAGGUGAUGGUGAAGGAAAGGAGUCGGUUCUGAUGGAGGGUUUAAUCCAGAGCUUUAUUCUGGCCCACAGGACUCUGAAUGGAGCAGCAGCUCCAAACAGAACUCCCACAGGCCUCUGGAUCCAGUCACUGCUCCAUCAGAACUUCCCGGACCGCGUGGCUGCUUGCCCUUUUUCCUCGGGAGGGGAUAGGGAGCCACCAACCAGGAGGGUCCCUAUCUUCAGCUGAGGCUUCCAGGUCGUCCAUUGGAGCACUAGGGGCUUCCAAGUGGUAGACUUCAGUGGGGGAAGAUGAGCUUGGAAUUAACUUGUGAACCAUGCGCUUGAUUAGCCCAAAAACAAUGCUAACAACUACAAUAACAACAACUGGAAUAAACAGUACCAAAGAGUUUUCAGAAUAGAUCCAAA
Non-coding RNA from Lonchura striata (white-rumped munia), 473 nucleotides. The record is from RefSeq and is a predicted model, not a curated record. NCBI's taxonomy places the organism in Eukaryota, Metazoa, Chordata, Aves, Passeriformes, Estrildidae.